Long non-coding RNA from Vigna unguiculata (cowpea), 1393 nucleotides. Lineage: Eukaryota; Viridiplantae; Streptophyta; Magnoliopsida; Fabales; Fabaceae. The record is from RefSeq and is a predicted model, not a curated record.
UUUAUUUGGUGAAUUAUUUGAAAAGUUAUUGAUCAUGUAUAAUGGUUUGUAUAAUCCUAUAAGUUAAUUUUUGUUUGAUUUGUUGGGUUGCAGGUACACGAAAUUUGAAGGGGUAGGGAAAGCUUUGAUGGAGUUUCUUGUAGUCUAAAAUUUUUGGUAUCUUUAGUUUUAAGGGAUCGAAGAUUCUCAAAUACACUCUGAAGUAAGCUGCAUUCGAAGAGAAGAGAAAGAUAAUCCCUUUCGGACUUAGGGUUUAGACAGGGUAUGCUUAGGUAUUGUACGUUGUGGGAAGUUUAUAAUGGUGAGUUGUUACUUUUGUACGUUGAGUUUGCAGUUUAAGGAGGAGAAAUUUGAAGCUACUUUGUGGUGCAUUAGGGAGAAAUGGAUAUAAUUAGAUGAUGUCUCUCACAAUUUUCAGUGAAUCAAAGAUUGAUAAAGAACUUUUGCUGUCCACAUGUUUUAAAGGAACACUGUUACCAGGACACACGUAAAAACAUCGAUCAUAACGACCGUGAGAAUCAUCAUAAUCAUAGUUUUAACAAGUGCUGGUUUUGCAAAUGUCAUCAUAUUGAUUUUCAACCCAAUAGCAGCUAACAAAUGUUGAUCCAAGUUCAAGUCAUAUGAGAAAAGAACCAUUUUCCUGUUUCCUUUAACUGUUCACGAGCUUUCCAAGGAAGCAAGACAAUCUUCAAUCUGAGAGGUGAAGGAUGAGAGAAGCUCUGCUCCAGUCUUGAUUGAAUUGCAGUUUUAAGGGAUUGAAUACGCUCAACUAGAGUCUGAAGUAAGGUGCAAUCACAAAGGUUUACAAUCUGAAGAGACAAGGGAAGGUUGGGUGGAAUUUGAAGUGAAUAGCAUGCGGAGACAUUUAAAGUUGAAAGCAACGGUGGAAGCUCUGGUAGACUCUCAAGUGACACGCAAAAGGAAGUAUUUAGAGUUUGAAGGGAAAGAGGAAGGUUGGGUAGAGUUUUGAGUGAUUUUGAGAACGAGACAUCUAAAGUUGUUAGGAAAGGGGGAAGCUCUGCUAUAUUUUCAAGCUUCUCGCAACCACGCAUGUAUAGAAACUUCAAUUCACUGUUUCUCCAAAGUGAAGAAUGCAACCUCCUCUCAGAAUUGCUUGGAAGUAUGGCCAAGGAGAUGCAGCUAUUAAGAUCCAAUAUCUGAAGCUUUGGCAGAGAGAAAAUAGAUGAAUGCAGGCUUCUCAAACUAGAACAACCACUGAGGUACAGUUCUUCAAGUCUUAUGGCUCCUGAUAAAUCUGGAAGCUCCUUUAACUUCAUGGCCCAAUGGAGAAUAAGUCUUUUCAAAUUCGCUAGAUUCUGUAAUAAAAUGAAAAGAAACGAAGAUGUCACAUGAAUUUACCUUUAUAACAGUGAGACUCAUGUAUUUACCUUCA